Molecule: unclassified non-coding RNA, 292 nt
Filed under: uncultured fungus
Lineage: Eukaryota; Fungi
Description: sequence contains ITS1
Source: RNAcentral
GGACUACUCGGGUUUCUAAUCCCGUUUGCUACCCUAGCUUUCGCGUCUGAGCGUCAGAAACGAUCCAGAAAAUCGCCUUCGCCACUGGUGUUCCUCCCGAUAUCUACGCAUUUCACCACUACACCGGGAAUUCCAUUUUCCUCUAUCGCUCUCUAGUCUGGUAGUUUUGGACGACCUCUCCCAGUUGAGCCGGGAGCUUUCACGCCCAACUUACCAAACCGCCUGCACGCGCUUUACGCCCAGUGAAUCCGGAUAACGCUCGCCUCCUACGUUUUACCGCGGCGGCUGGCAC